CGAACGGGUGAGUAACGCGUGAGGAACCUGCCUCAAAGAGGGGGACAACAGUUGGAAACGACUGCUAAUACCGCAUAAGCCCACGGGUCGGCAUCGACCAGAGGGAAAAGGAGCAAUCCGCUUGAGAUGGCCUCGCGUCCGAUUAGCUAGUUGGUGAGGUAAUGGCCCACCAAGGCAACGAUCGGUAGCCGGACUGAGAGGUUGAACGGCCACAUUGGGACUGAGACACGGCCCAGACUCCUACGGGAGGCAGCAUG
RNAcentral lists this ribosomal RNA (257 nucleotides) under uncultured bacterium. RNAcentral describes it as "partial 16S ribosomal RNA". It matches the Rfam family "Bacterial small subunit ribosomal RNA", at positions 99 to 353 of the family's 1533-position model. The record is from RNAcentral.